This 891-nucleotide long non-coding RNA is filed under the name Ananas comosus (pineapple). Its description in RNAcentral is "long non-coding RNA (ACOM_LNC011108)". Lineage: Eukaryota; Viridiplantae; Streptophyta; Magnoliopsida; Poales; Bromeliaceae. The record is from RNAcentral.
CGCAAAUUAUUCCCGAAUUAUUGAAAAUAUAAAUAAAAAACUUAUAAUUUUUAUUUUUAAAUACAAAUUAUCUUAUAUUUUAUAUCUUAUAUCUUAUAUUUUAUACCGAAUUCAUUUUUUAAGCCGAAAUUUUCAACGAAUUUACAAAUUAGAAGACGAAUUUUAUGCGUAUUAUAUCCGUACCGAAUUUUUGCCGAAUCCGAAUUAACUAACUAUGUUCCUAACAAUAUACUCGCGCUUUCCGGCGGUAUAAUUUUUAAUUUUAUAAUUAUUAUAUUAUACGUUAUAUAAAAUUAUUUAUUAGAGUCAUAUGAAAAUUAAUAUAUUUUACUCAUAAUUUUAAAAAAUAAAAAUUAAAAAUUUAUAAAAUAUAUAAUUACUAAAUUUAAAUUUAAAAUCAUUUAAAUAUUCAGAGCUUUUGUUUGAAAAAGAGAAAAAAAAAAGAGUAUUAAAUUAAAAAUUAAACUGAGGGAGAGAGAAAAACAGCAUACGCAUUUCUCGACGAGACAGGAGAAGAAAAGAGAAGAGGUAUGAACGUUAUGUUUAAUAAAAAUUAAGUAAGAGAGAGUACAAUAGAAAUUUAAAAUUUUAAAUUUUGAAAUUGAAGAUGUAGGAAAAAAUAUUAUAACUUUUAAAAUUAUAAAAUUUUAAUUUUGAAUUUAAAAUUUAAAAUUUUAUAAUAUAAAUUUUUAAAACUCUCUCUCUCUCUAUAUAUAUAUAUAUAUUGGUAGAGAGAUAAAGGAGGAGAGAAUUUUGGAGGACACUGUCACUCUUAGAUCCUUCAAAUCUUCUUUUAAUGUAGAAGAAAGAAAAGAAAGAAUAGAAAUAGAAAUAGAAAUAGAACAGAUACACUCACCUGAAUCAUACGUAUGUACGCAAUCAACUAUCUAA